RNAcentral lists this ribosomal RNA (447 nucleotides) under uncultured soil bacterium. RNAcentral's name for it is "bacterial SSU rRNA". It matches the Rfam family "Bacterial small subunit ribosomal RNA", at positions 26 to 521 of the family's 1533-position model. The record is from RNAcentral.
AGAACGAACGCUGGCGGCAGGCUUAACACAUGCAAGUCGAACGCUCCGCAAGGAGAGUGGCAGACGGGUGAGUAACGCGUGGGAACCUUCCUAUUGGUUUGGAAUAGCUCAGGGAAACUUGGGGUAAUACCGGAUAAGCCCUACGGGGGAAAGAUUUAUCGCCAAUAGAUGGGCCCGCGUCUGAUUAGCUAGUUGGUGAGGUAACGGCUCACCAAGGCGACGAUCAGUAGCUGGUUUGAGAGAAUGACCAGCCACACUGGGACUGAGACACGGCCCAGACUCCUACGGGAGCAGCAGUGGGGAAUCUUGGACAAUGGGCGCAAGCCUGAUCCAGCCAUGCCGCGUGAGUGACGAAGGCCUUAGGGUUGUAAAGCUCUUUUAGCAGGGAAGAUAAUGACGGUACCUGCAAGAAUAAGCCCCGGCUAACUUCGUGACCAGCAGCCCGAC